Molecule: long non-coding RNA, 550 nt
Filed under: Cavia porcellus (domestic guinea pig)
Lineage: Eukaryota; Metazoa; Chordata; Mammalia; Rodentia; Caviidae
Description: lncRNA (ENSCPOG00000039701.1)
Source: RNAcentral
GUGGCUCAGGCUCCAUCCUGGAGGAGGCAGAUAACGCACCAGCUGGGCCCCCACCAUCUACGGGCAGCACGACCAGUCCCCAGGGGGUCUCAGCUGGGGGAGGGCUGCAGAAGCGUUUCCACCCCGGCCUGGGGGAGGGCGGGGUCCGGGGCUGGCUGCAAGUGUGCUCCGCGCCAUUUCCUGCUGUCUCCCAGGCUUUCAGGUGCCGCUGCAGGACCCUGUCUCUGGUCCCAUCUCUUCUUUGUCUCUCUUCAUUUGUGUCCAGUGUCUUCCUUCCCGGGGAGCUCAGUGCCCGGAGUCUCUCUCCCCCUGUAUUUCUUCACAAUUACGUGCUGGUUCUCCCGUUGCCCCGCCUCCAUCCCAAACUGCCUGAAUGCCACUCUCCUUGGCCUGCAAGUCCCUGACUCACUGGAGUCUCACUCCCUGACGCAUGAUCCUUUCCACUUGCUCUGUGCCAGAAAGCGAAGGUUACCACCAAACUCACGCAAAAGGGAAGCCUCCGCCCAGGCCCUGCAGAGGAGGAGGGACAUGCAGCACUGCUGACUUCAGU